AAAAAAAAGAAAAGUAAGUUGCUCUGGAUAAGAGCGUCUGCUAAAUGACCUAAA
This is a non-coding RNA of Salmo salar (Atlantic salmon), 54 nucleotides long. NCBI's taxonomy places the organism in Eukaryota, Metazoa, Chordata, Actinopteri, Salmoniformes, Salmonidae. The record is from Rfam.